AAAAACUGAACAUUUCAGUAGAAUCGUUUCUUUCAGCUUUUUUUUGGAGGUCAAUUUUCCGGUGAAAGAGAUGAUCUUUUUCCGGCGAGGUUCGUCAAUGAUUUCAUAGUAGAUUCUUUGCUUUGACUAUUUUCUUUUGUUUCAUAUUUGUAUUAGUUUCAUGGAAAGAAUUAAAAUUUAAAUUCGAGUAUGUUAGGUAAAUUUUGAGUAUAGAAC
RNAcentral lists this long non-coding RNA (216 nucleotides) under Nicotiana benthamiana. Its description in RNAcentral is "long non-coding RNA (NBEN_LNC038892)". Lineage: Eukaryota; Viridiplantae; Streptophyta; Magnoliopsida; Solanales; Solanaceae. The record is from RNAcentral.